GUAAAUAUUACAAAACAAACGUGAAGAUGUUGAUAAGCAAUGAUAUGAUAAA
Molecule: non-coding RNA, 52 nt
Filed under: Trypanosoma lewisi
Lineage: Eukaryota; Euglenozoa; Kinetoplastea; Trypanosomatida; Trypanosomatidae
Source: RNAcentral